GGUUAAGCGACUAAGCGUACACGGUGGAUGCCCUGGCAGUCAGAGGCGAUGAAGGACGUGCUAAUCUGCGAAAAGCGCCGGCGAGGUGAUAUGAACCUUUGACCCGGCGAUGUCCGAAUGGGGAAACCCAGUGCAAUCCGUUGCACUAUCGUUAACUGAAUACAUAGGUUAACGAGGCGAACCGGGGGAACUGAAACAUCUAAGUACCCCGAGGAAAAGAAAUCAACCGAGAUUCCCCCAGUAGCGGCGAGCGAACGGGGAGCAGCCCGGAGUCUGAAUCAGCUUGUGUGUUAGUGGAACGGUCUGGAAAGUCCGACGGUACAGGGUGAUAGUCCCGUACACGAAAAUGCACAUGCUGUGAACUCGAAGAGUAGGGCGGGACACGUGGUAUCCUGUCUGAAUAUGGGGGGACCAUCCUCCAAGGCUAAAUACUCCUGACUGACCGAUAGUGAACCAGUACCGUGAGGGAAAGGCGAAAAGAACCCCGGCGAGGGGAGUGAAAAAGAACCUGAAACCGUGUACGUACAAGCAGUGGGAGCCUCUUUAUGGGGUGACUGCGUACCUUUUGUAUAAUGGGUCAGCGACUUAUAUUCUGUAGCAAGGUUAACCGUAUAGGGGAGCCGAAGGGAAACCGAGUCUUAACUGGGCGUUAAGUUGCAGGGUAUAGACCCGAAACCCGGUGAUCUAGCCAUGGGCAGGUUGAAGGUUGGGUAACACUAACUGGAGGACCGAACCGACUAAUGUUGAAAAAUUAGCGGAUGACCUGUGGCUGGGGGUGAAAGGCCAAUCAAACCGGGAGAUAGCUGGUUCUCCCCGAAAGCUAUUUAGGUAGCGCCUCGUGAACUCAUCUUCGGGGGUAGAGCACUGUUUCGGCUAGGGGGCCAUCCCGGCUUACCAACCCGAUGCAAACUACGAAUACCGAAGAAUGUUAUCACGGGAGACACACGGCGGGUGCUAACGUCCGUCGUGAAGAGGGAAACAACCCAGACCGCCAGCUAAGGUCCCAAAGUCAUGGUUAAGUGGGAAACGAUGUGGGAAGGCACAGACAGCCAGGAUGUUGGCUUAGAAGCAGCCAUCAUUUAAAGAAAGCGUAAUAGCUCACUGGUCGAGUCGGCCUGCGCGGAAGAUGUAACGGGGCUAAACCAUGCACCGAAGCUGCGGCAGCGACACUAUGUGUUGUUGGGUAGGGGAGCGUUCUGUAAGCCGUUGAAGGUGUGCUGUGAGGCAUGCUGGAGGUAUCAGAAGUGCGAAUGCUGACAUAAGUAACGAUAAAGCGGGUGAAAAGCCCGCUCGCCGGAAGACCAAGGGUUCCUGUCCAACGUUAAUCGGGGCAGGGUGAGUCGACCCCUAAGGCGAGGCCGAAAGGCGUAGUCGAUGGGAAACAGGUUAAUAUUCCUGUACUUGGUGUUACUGCGAAGGGGGGACGGAGAAGGCUAUGUCAGCCGGGCGACGGUUGUCCCGGUUUAAGCAUGUAGGCGGAGGUUCCAGGUAAAUCCGGUACCUUAUUAACGCUGAGGUGUGAUGACGAGGCACUACGGUGCUGAAGUGAUAAAUGCCCUGCUUCCAGGAAAAGCCUCUAAGCAUCAGGUAACACGAAAUCGUACCCCAAACCGACACAGGUGGUCAGGUAGAGAAUACCAAGGCGCUUGAGAGAACUCGGGUGAAGGAACUAGGCAAAAUGGUGCCGUAACUUCGGGAGAAGGCACGCUGAUAUGUAGGUGAAGCCCCUGCGGGCGGAGCUGAAAUCAGUCGAAGAUACCAGCUGGCUGCAACUGUUUAUUAAAAACACAGCACUGUGCAAACACGAAAGUGGACGUAUACGGUGUGACGCCUGCCCGGUGCCGGAAGGUUAAUUGAUGGGGUUAGCGGCAACGCGAAGCUCUUGAUCGAAGCCCCGGUAAACGGCGGCCGUAACUAUAACGGUCCUAAGGUAGCGAAAUUCCUUGUCGGGUAAGUUCCGACCUGCACGAAUGGCGUAAUGAUGGCCAGGCUGUCUCCACCCGAGACUCAGUGAAAUUGAACUCGCUGUGAAGAUGCAGUGUACCCGCGGCAAGACGGAAAGACCCCGUGAACCUUUACUAUAGCUUGACACUGAACACUGGUCCUUGAUGUGUAGGAUAGGUGGGAGGCUUUGAAGCGUGGACGCCAGUCUGCGUGGAGCCAACCUUGAAAUACCACCCUUUAAUGGCUGGUGUUCUAACGU
RNAcentral lists this ribosomal RNA (2203 nucleotides) under Enterobacter hormaechei. RNAcentral describes it as "partial 23S ribosomal RNA". It matches the Rfam family "Bacterial large subunit ribosomal RNA", at positions 1 to 2228 of the family's 2925-position model. The record is from RNAcentral. Lineage: Bacteria; Pseudomonadati; Pseudomonadota; Gammaproteobacteria; Enterobacterales; Enterobacteriaceae. RNAcentral also lists the same sequence under 2 other names.